GGGCAAUUAGCUCAGGGGAUAGAGCACAAGCCUCCGAAGCUUGGUGUCGCAGGUUCAAGUCCUGCAUUGCCCA
This 73-nucleotide transfer RNA is filed under the name Deferribacterales bacterium. RNAcentral describes it as "tRNA-Arg". It matches the Rfam family "tRNA". Rfam says of the family: Transfer RNA (tRNA) molecules are approximately 80 nucleotides in length. RNAcentral also lists the same sequence under 1 other name. Lineage: Bacteria; Pseudomonadati; Deferribacterota; Deferribacteres; Deferribacterales. The record is from RNAcentral.